This 4313-nucleotide long non-coding RNA is filed under the name Gossypium barbadense (sea-island cotton). Its description in RNAcentral is "long non-coding RNA (GBAR_LNC013544)". The record is from RNAcentral. Lineage: Eukaryota; Viridiplantae; Streptophyta; Magnoliopsida; Malvales; Malvaceae.
AAUGUCUCGUUUGAUGAAAUGAAGGCAAGGAUUAAUGCAAAAAUUGUAAGACGUUGUGGGAGAAGGAUAGUAAAAAUUUUCUACAAGUUUCCAGUUUCGACAAAUCCAGUCAAAUUUGUCGAAAUGGAACUUGCAGACGACGAAGACGUUGAGACAAUGGUCGAUCUCUACUGUGGGAAUGGGAGUGACAAGAAUGCACCGAUUCACUUAUUUGCUGAGUUAGUCGGUAUGGAGCAAAAUGCAUCUGAUGAAGAAGACGGGGCUGAAGAACCGCGAAUGGUGGCUCCAAUAUCAUACGUUGAUAGUGAAUCAACUAUGGGUGGGAUCGGUAUCGACCUGAAUAUUACACCCGAUGUUGAUAUGGUUAGUGGUUGCGAAGAAUGUGGUUGCGAAGAAGAAGGUGGUGGCGAUCAUUGGGAUGAAGAGGUCGAUAGUGACGGUGAUCCCGAUGUGGACGAUGUACCUGAUGAUAUCGACAAUGAAGACAUUAAUGCUUCUUCGAUCGGGGAGCAGAUGCGGCAUAUUUUGAUACACAAUAAUCCUGGGGCACACAUGUCGCUCAUAGACCCCGACGCAGCGUAUGUAGCUGAGUUCCCAGAGUACCCUGAAAUAGUUCAUCGUCACGGGCUGGCCGUAACAUCUGAUGAUGAGGAGUUAUUAAUAGGCCAGAGAUUCAGCUGUAAAGAAGAGUGCGUAUAUGCCAUCAAACGGUACAGCAUGAAUAUAUCAGUUGAUUAUAAAGUCACAGUGUCUACUCCGACAAUAUAUGUUGGGGAGUGUUGGAAGGCAGCGGAAGGCUGCAAUUGGUGGGUGCGAGCUGCAUUCAUUAAAAGUUCUUAGAUGUGGGAGAUACGAAAAUUUGUUGGUCCUUAUACAUGCACAUCAACACGUAUGACAGAAGAUCAUGGAAAACUUGAUUCAAAAACAAUCUGUACGUGUAUCAUGCCUAUGGUAAAGGACAUGCCGACCAUUAAAGUUUCAGUACUGAUUGCCGAAAUGCAAGCACGAUUCCAGUAUCGAGUCUCAUAUCGGAAGGUAUGGAUUGCUAAUCAGAUGGUGAUGGAGCAAUUGUAUGGAGAUUACAAUUCAUCGUAUAACGAGCUUCAAGGUUGGAUAGCUGCUAUGCGGGAGUAUGUACCGGGGACUGUGAUUGAGUUGCAGACAAGGCCAUAUUACGGCCUGGAUGACCAGUUACAGCCGGCAAAAAGGAUUUUCCAUCGGAUGUUCUGGACGUUUGAUCCAUGUGUGCGGGCAUUUCCCCACUGCAAGCCACUUGUGCAGGUGGAUGGGACCUGGCUGUAUGGAAAAUAUACAUAGAUCCUACUUCUUGCAGUUGUUCAAGACAGCAACAGAAACGUGCUCCCGAUAGCAUUUGCUAUCGUAGAUAAAGAGAUCAUGGAGUCUUGGGAAUUCUUCCUCACAAACCUGCGGAGGUAUGUUAUUAGCAACGAUAACAUUUGCAUCAUUUCCGAUAGAGGGAAGGGUUUAAUUGCAGCAAUCAAGCGUUCUGGUGUGCCGUGGAGAUCCAUUUACUGCAUCCGUCACAUUGCGGCUAACUUCCACAAAGAUUACAAGAAUGUAGACUGGAAGAGACAAGUCGUGGCAAUGGGUAAAUGAUAACCUUAUAUUUUCAAUAUAAGUUGUAAUGUUUCAUGUUAUGGAGUUACUAGAACUUAUUUUUCUUAAUAUGUAUGCAGCGUACGAGUUAGAGCCACAUAUGUUCCGGCAAAAAAUGAUCCGACUUGAGAGUGACAUGGAGGGCCAGACAAACACAUCUUUCCGACAAUGGUUGGGCACAUGGAGCCGUGGCAAUGGGCUCAAAGUUUUGACGAGGGCUUUUGUUAUGGCCAAAUGACCACAAACUUAGUCAAGGGGAUCAACGCUGUUUUGUUAAAAACACAUCAUCUUCCGGUUGCAUCUGUAUUUUUUGCUACUUUCUACAGGCUGGCUACUUUGAUACCAAGAAUGGGUCAGCAGCAAGUCGACCAGAUUGAGGCGGGACACGUGUUUCUCGAACAUGUUAGGGAUACAAUGGUCACAAACCAUCGGUUGGCGAGGUCAAUGAAUGUAGAAAUAUAUCCACGACGACUGGAAACAUUUCGAGUUACUGAGAGCAUCAGUCGUCGACCUGGUAUACCAACUAGGUCCUAUGGAGUUGAUCUCCAGAACCGACGGUGCUAGUGCAGAAGGUUCGAAACACUUUAUUAUCCCUGUGCGCAUGUCGUGGCAGCGUGUGCUAAAGUUAACGUCAAUGUUGAACAAUAUGUCGAUGAUGUGUACACGCUGGAGUGCACAUUGCGUGUCUGGGAAAAUGAGUUCCCCGUCUUGCCUGACCUAUCAACGUGGGAGGUGCCUCUGAUGACUUUCGAGCUUCUCCCAGACAGAGGGCUGCGGAGGAAUCCGAGAGGUCAUCCGCAGUCAAGCAGAAUCUGUAAUGAAAUGGACAUCAAGGAGAAGUCUGACGAAAAGCAUUGUGGAAUAUGCAGGUUAAGUGGUCAUAGUCAGAAUAAAUGCCCUAACCGAAACUUUCAUGUUGGACAGUCGUCCGGAUCGGGUCGUAAUUGACCUAAUAUUGUAAGAUUUUUAUGUGUAAUGAUAAAAAACUAUACAAAUGAUUAUGAUUACAUUGUAUCCAAAUUAAGUUAUAAAAUAGUAUAUGGCGUUUGGAAUUAUUAAUAUUAUAUCGAAAAUGGAGGCAUAUAACCUUAAAUUAAGCUUUAAUAUAAUGCAACUUUAAAAUAAUUAAAUUGGUAAAAAGAAAUUGAACAAUAACCACAAUAACUGAAACUAUAAUAAUUAAAUUGAUACAAAAAAGUACAAACGUGUUAAUGCACAAACAUGUGCCAUACACCCCUAAAAUUGAUGGUUCGAUGGUGUAGUCCUAGGGGUAUACCUAUUCGGAGGUCGACGGUCACGUUCUGGGUGCCUGCGACGACUGACAUUAUCAUUUGGCGCAGGUGGUGGUGUAGUAAAAAUAGAGAGGAAAUCAUUUUGAGCAGGUCCCUCGUUCGGUAGCGACGAACUUGAUGCACCUGAGGGAGUCCCAUAAUGCUGCGGAUAUGGGCCAGGCGAGUAGGAUCCGAAUAGUUCAAAGUCGUAUGCAUAUUCUGGCCCUGAGAAGCUCGACAAAUUGUUAGUGCCUGACAAUUCCGGAUGAUAGCUAUCUGAACCGACAAAUCCAGAUUGUUCCGGAUCUGGCUGGGGCUCCUGCUCGGGCUCCAGUGGUUCCGGAGAAUAAUAUGCCAUGGGAUCUGCAUCAUGCUGGGCUGCUGUGGCCGAUCCCCCAUGUCGCUGCAUGUGCGGGGGGAUUACAACAAACUGGCCUCCGUAUAAAUAUGACUUCCCGCAACUAAAGUACCAUUGCAUAUACUCUUCUGAUGGUUGCAAGUCGGUAGCCAUAACCAUCUGAGGUAUUCGACGAAAUCGAUUGUUCCACAGCGCCACAAAUUUUCGGUGCUUAAUUCCUCAAUCUAUCACUGAUUUUCCUCUCUUAUUCUUGCCGUGAACUUCUCCCACCUCACACUGCGGAUCCGGGAUAGGUUGGAUGAAGCCAAACUGCCGUAGCACCCGAUCCCCGUGAUACCACUCGACCAUGUUGAAAUUUAUAAUUGGUGCGUUAGUGCACCAUAUGUACGAAUGCACGUACGCAGACGAGGGUACCACGGCGGUAAUUUCUGGCGUUCGGUACGGCGUCCAUAUAAACUGCAUGAUUAAUAACAUGGUUAUAAUUAGUCAUAACGUGUGCGUAAGAUAUAGAAAGUAAGAUGUCAUGAAUAUGGCUAUAGCAUGAAUAUUAGAAUAGCAUCUUACCCCAUCCCGGGCAUACUGUUCAAUCAUGAGGUGGUAUAGCGGGACAUUGUACGACUGCCCGAUACCCGGACGACCACUCCACCCACAAAAAACAAAUAUAGCGUUUAGAGUUGGUUGGUAACAUUAGUCAAUAUAUUAUGACUACAAAUAACGAGAAGUUAUAUUUUAUCACCUGUUCAGCAGUGGAUAAACAUACGGUUGGUGUCUAACUGAUGCCAAAAAUGGCAUCCGAUACAGCGCCCAGGUCUGCAGUAGUGAGAGGCAUCCGCCAAUGUUGUGAACUUUCGGAUCUGUCGCCCGACAAAGCUCUCGAUACAAGACUGCUAGCACAGCUGAGCCCCAGCUAUAGGAGCUAACACUGGACAAGUCAGCUAACAGGGGCAAGUACAUCAAAUGCACCUUGUCGUUGCUUGCAUCAGGCAUGAUUUCUCCCCCUAUGAUAUGCAUGAUGUACGCUCGAGCAGCGCACAUAAACUCGCCUUCAGUGGCUGUCACUGAUAAUU